RNAcentral lists this ribosomal RNA (468 nucleotides) under uncultured bacterium. RNAcentral's name for it is "partial 16S ribosomal RNA". It matches the Rfam family "Bacterial small subunit ribosomal RNA", at positions 28 to 507 of the family's 1533-position model. The record is from RNAcentral.
GACGAACGCUGGCGGCGUGCUUAACACAUGCAAGUCGAACGGAAAGGCCCUGAUUUUGUUGGGUGCUCGAGUGGCGAACGGGUGAGUAACACGUGAGUAACCUGCCCUUGACUUUCGGGUAACUUCAGGAAACUGGGGCUAAUACACGAUAGGAGCUUCUGCUGCACGGGGGGGGUUGGAAAGUUUCGGCGGUUGGGGCUGGAUUCGAGGCUUAUCCGCUUGUUGGUGGGGUUGUGGCUUACCAAGGCUUUGAAGGGUACCCGGCCUGGGAGGGUGACCGGCCACAUUGGGACUGAGAUAGGCAGCAGACUGCUACGGUAGGCAGCAGUGGGGAAUAUUGCACAAUGGGCGGACGCCAGAGGCAGCAACGCCGCGUGCGGGAUGACGGCCUUCGGGGUGUAAACCGAUUUCGCCUGUGACGAAGCGUGAGUGACGGUAAUGGGUAAGGAAGCACCGGCUAACUACGUG